UACGAAGGGGGCUAGCGUUGUUCGGAUUUACUGGGCGUAAAGCGCACGUAGGCGGAUCGUUAAGUCGGGGGUGAAAUCCUGGAGCUCAACUCCAGAACUGCCUUCGAUACUGGCGAUCUCGAGUCCGGAAGAGGUGAGUGGAACUCCUAGUGUAGAGGUGGAAUUCGUAGAUAUUAGGAAGAACACCAGUGGCGAAGGCGACUCACUGGUCCGGUACUGACGCUGAGGUGCGAAAGCGUGGGGAGCAAACAGGAUUGAG
This 259-nucleotide ribosomal RNA is filed under the name uncultured bacterium. Its description in RNAcentral is "partial 16S ribosomal RNA". It matches the Rfam family "Bacterial small subunit ribosomal RNA", at positions 524 to 782 of the family's 1533-position model. The record is from RNAcentral.